CUGUUCAACGGCCGCGGUAUCCUAACCGUGCGAAGGUAGCGUAAUCACUUGUUCUUUAAAUGAGGACUAGUAUGAAUGGCACCACGAAGGUUAUACUGUCUCCUCUCUCUAAUCAGUGAAACUAAUCUCCCCGUGAAGAAGCGGGGAUAAUCUUAUAAGACGAGAAGACCCUAUGGAGCUUUAAACUAAGAAUCAACUGCCUUUACCAUAUUUAAAUUCCAGAAGACUAACUUUUACCAAGACAUUCUGAUUUCUAGUUUUAGGUUGGGGUGACCACGGAGUAAAAACUAACCUCCGCAAUGAACAGGGAUCUUCCCUUAACCAAGGACCACAACCCCAAGAAUCAAUACAUUGACAUCAAUUGACCCAUUAAACCUGAUCAAUGAACCAAGUUACCCUAGGGAUAACAGCGCAAUCCACUUCAAGAGCUCCUAUCGACAAGUGGGUUUACGACCUCGAUGUUGGAUCAGGGUAUCCCAGUGGUGCAGCCGCUACUAACGGUUCGUUUG
Molecule: ribosomal RNA, 509 nt
Filed under: Leptodactylus knudseni (Knudsen's thin-toed frog)
Lineage: Eukaryota; Metazoa; Chordata; Amphibia; Anura; Leptodactylidae
Description: partial small subunit ribosomal RNA
Rfam family: Bacterial large subunit ribosomal RNA
Source: RNAcentral